Molecule: long non-coding RNA, 334 nt
Organism: Priapulus caudatus
Lineage: Eukaryota; Metazoa; Priapulida; Priapulimorpha; Priapulimorphida; Priapulidae
Exons: 3
Source: RefSeq, a predicted model, not a curated record
UCGUAGUUGUGGGAACGCCUCUUACUAUUUCAUGUAUUUAGCAUUGAUAAUCGAGAGGUUCGCGCCUGCUAAUACGUGCGUAACGUAAACUAAGAAGGCACGAUGUUAGAAGUUGUUACAUCCAACCCAGUUUUGGCAGGCUGGGUCUUGGCCGUGAUAGCAUGUUUUGUGAUCGUCCUCAUGCUUACAACAUGCAUAAAUUGCUUUGACAGAAUAACCUUUAAGGAACUGGACGAGGUGUCGACGAUGGUCAACGUGUCAAUCGACGCGACAACGGCGGGGGCGCCACCGUCGCCGGACCCCGUCGAUGCGUCGGACGUCGUCAUGGAGGCGU